GAUGAACGCUAGCGGCAGGCCUAAUACAUGCAAGUCGAACGAGAUUAAGGGGCUUGCUCCUUAUGAAAGUGGCGCACGGGUGCGUAACGCGUAUGCAACCUACCUCAAUCAGGGGGAGUAGCCCGAAGAAAUUCGGAUUAAUACCGCAUAACAACACAGGAUAGCAUUAUCCAAUGUUCAAAUAUUUAUAGGAUUGAGAU
RNAcentral lists this ribosomal RNA (200 nucleotides) under uncultured bacterium. RNAcentral describes it as "partial 16S ribosomal RNA". It matches the Rfam family "Bacterial small subunit ribosomal RNA", at positions 28 to 226 of the family's 1533-position model. The record is from RNAcentral.